Molecule: ribosomal RNA, 331 nt
Filed under: uncultured bacterium
Lineage: Bacteria
Description: bacterial SSU rRNA
Rfam family: Bacterial small subunit ribosomal RNA
Source: RNAcentral
GACGAACGCUGGCGGCGCGCCUAACACAUGCAAGUCGAGCGAGAACCAGGGCUUCGGCCCUGGGGACAGCGGCGAACGGGUGAGUAACACGUGGGUAACCUGCCCUCGGCACCGGGAUAGACCCGGGGAAACCCGGAUUAAUACCGGACAGCCUCAUGAGCUCUCGGGCUCGUGAGAAAAGGUGGUCUUCGGCUUACCGGCUUGAGGAUGGGCCCGCGGCCGAUUAGCUUGUUGGUGAGGUAACGGCUCACCGAAGGCCGAUGAUCGGUAGCUGGUCUGAGAGGACGAUCAGCCACACUGGGACUGAGACACGGCCCAGACUCCUACGGGA